Long non-coding RNA from Biomphalaria glabrata, 597 nucleotides. RefSeq lists it as uncharacterized. Lineage: Eukaryota; Metazoa; Mollusca; Gastropoda; Planorbidae. The record is from RefSeq and is a predicted model, not a curated record. The transcript is spliced from 3 exons.
CAAGGCCGGCCCUGCGACCGUAUACCAAACGCAAAUCUUUUUUGGUGAUCUGAAAUGUGAUCGGCGUCGGAGUUGCCCCCCUCCCCUAAAUAUAUUGUUACAUCAUCGAGAUUUAUUCAUAUAAUUUUUUGAGAUAUUUUCCUUUUUUUUUCCAAAGGACUUAAUGUGUAUUUCCAGUACAGAGCGCGAUAAUUGGUUAAAAAAAAGGUUUUGUUACCAUACAGUGUACAACAUAGUAGGAGCAACGCUUUCAACAAAAUAAUUUCUUUCAAGUGACAUUUGGUAAAUAUCGCUGGAAAUGUUUCAGUACUUGAUGGUCUAAUUAUACGACUAUUAUGUGACUAUUUAAAGUACGAACAGUUUCAAAUGAAGACACUAGCACUAGCGGUUCUCACAUUGAUCGUCGUUUGCUGUGCUGCUCAGCCGCAGCCGUCAACAAAGUGUCAAUACGACGAGCAAGUGUACACAGAGCGCUGGGGAGAUGGUUGUCGUACUUGUUAUUGUCAAGAAUACAACAAUGAGAUGAUUGAGCAAUGCUGGUCCCCUUGUGAUGAAGAGUUCCCAGCCAAAUAAUACAAAAAAAUAAAGAUUCCUUCC